RNAcentral lists this ribosomal RNA (274 nucleotides) under uncultured bacterium. RNAcentral's name for it is "partial 16S ribosomal RNA". It matches the Rfam family "Bacterial small subunit ribosomal RNA", at positions 523 to 796 of the family's 1533-position model. The record is from RNAcentral.
AUACGGAGGGGGCUAGCGUUAUUCGGAAUCACUGGGCGUAAAGGACGCGUAGGCGGGUUGGCAAGUCAGAUGAGAAAUCCUACAGCUUAACUGUAGAACUGCAUUUGAAACUGCUAACCUAGAGUAUGGGAGGGGGAGAUGGAAUUAGUGGUGUAGGGGUAAAAUCCGUAGAUAUCACUAGGAAUACCGAAAGCGAAGGCGAUCUCCUGGAACAUAACUGACGCUAAGGCGUGAAAGCGUGGGGAGCAAACAGGAUUAGAUACCCUAGUAGUCC